RNAcentral lists this unclassified non-coding RNA (254 nucleotides) under Sordariomycetes sp. Its description in RNAcentral is "partial contains 5.8S ribosomal RNA, internal transcribed spacer 2, and large subunit ribosomal RNA". The record is from RNAcentral. Lineage: Eukaryota; Fungi; Ascomycota; Sordariomycetes.
CGCACAUUGCGCCCAUUAGUAUUCUAGCGGGCAUGCCUGUUCGAGCGUCAUUUCAAACUUCAAGCAUUGCUUGGUGAUGAAGUUAGCAGUUCUUUGCGACUUCCAAAACUAUCGGCAGAUCUGCGAUGAUCUAGACUUAGUAAUUUUUCUAGUCUUUGAUUAUUCGUAUAAUUUCGCCUUAUAUCUCUCCAGCUACUCUGGAAGAAUUUCAACAGUUUGACCUCGGAUCAGGUAGGAAUACCCGCUGAACUUAA